CUCGAGUGUGCUGUUUAUUUCAGUCGAUUGAUCACUCACAGCCUUCUGUGAAGAGAACUUAACACGAAAGAAAAAUGUCGUCUAAUUCUGCAAAACAGCUCUUUUCACGAAUUUUUGUUGUAAUAUUAUCUUUAACACCGUUAGUUGCUGAAAUAUGCCCAAGUAACAAUAGCAUUUCUCCAUGUAAGUGUUCAGAACUGAUCAUGAAGUGUCACAAUAUAAGCAUUCUUCAGGAUCUUCAGAAUGCUUUACAAGGAGCCUCAGGGUUUCAGUUGGACAAAUUUGUUCUCACUAAUUCUGUAAUCCACGCUCUGUCUUCUGGUAUAUUCAGUGGGUGUAACUUUCAGCACAUCAUAGUGGAAAGGACAAACCUCCCUUUUCUGACAUCACCAGUGUCCGGAGAGUCUCCAUUCCUCGGUAUUGCGAAACGUGUUACACAAGUGGAGUUACGCGAAAUUUACUCGCUCAAUGAAUGGGACUGGGCUCUGUUUUUCCCAAUUGGAACCCUGCGUACAAUGAUAAUUAGUUGCUGUAAUUUUACCUUUAUCCCCAACGACUUCGGUAAGCUAAACACCACUAAUCUACAAGAGCUGACAAUUGAAGAUUCCGAGGUGCGUUGGAUAGGAAGUUCUGCUUUUUCUACAUUAGAUCGUCUCUUAAAACUUGAUCUUUCCAGAAAUAUGAUUAAGACUUUGUUACGAAGCAUGCUUCCUUCUAAUGCAAUAGAACUGAUUUUGACAAACAACGAACUGACAAGCCUUCCCAGUGACAUUUUUAUUAAUAUGACUAAAUUAAUGAUUCUUAAUUUGAAGAACAACAAGCUUGAAACACUUUCUUUAUCAACGUUUUUAGAUUUAUUGAAAAAUGAGCAACGUGUGACAGUUGAAAUUGAAGAAUUCCCACGCUCAGCUAGACCUUCUCGUUAAAGAGGAAGAUUCGCAAUCAACAGGUCGCAGAUUAGAAUCUCGUCACCAAACAUAUUCGCCCUUUCAGCCGUAAGUAAAGAGUACCCCAAGAGUUGGCGAGGGAUGCUGUCAACUAGCUACCUUCCCUCUAAAUUAGAGCUAACUAGCUCAGAUAUCCCUUGAGUAGCUUUGUGUGAAAUUCAACAAACAAAAAAACCCAUAAUAUUCUAUAACCAGAAAAAAUACUGUACUUCUUUUUUCUCAAAAUUAAUUCGGUUUAUAAAAUCUCUAGAAGGUGGCGUAUUGUGCGACUGAAUCAUACUUCAUGUUUUCAUUCGUUAUUUGCACUCUUAUUCAAACUAUCAUGUCAUUAUGAUAAGUCAACAAUAAACCUAGCCCACAGUUACCUCAUAGACGCAACAACAGAUAUGCGAGGACAUAGAACGAGGAAAAACAGGUGUAGUGAUUUAUUGUAGGUGCCAUGAAAAGCUAAGACAUGGCGUUAAAAUUUAAAUAAUUUUUUAGUUUGUUUGUAAUUAUGCACAAAGCUACACAAUGGGCUAUCUGUGCUCUGCCCACCACGGAUAUUGAAACCCAGUUUCUAGCAUUGUAAGUCCGCAUACAUACCGCUGUGCUACUGUGGGGCAAGUUUAAAUGAAGAAACAAAUGGAAGAUAAAACAUUGAUGAAUUAUUCCGUCGUGAUUAAUUUAGGAAAAUAGUAAUCUCUCUAUUUUAUAGUAAGUGAAAAAAUUAAAACUGUGCCUAAUUAUAAAACAAUUCUAAAAGCAAACAGUAACUUCUUUAUAUUCCCUUUUAAGAUCAUGUUCUGAGUCAGUCAUAAACCAUAACAGAUUUGAUGCAAGGGUUUGUUUGUUUGUUUGAAGUUAAGCACAAAGCUACACAAUGGGCUAUCUGUGCUCUGCCCACCCGCAGACAAACCGCUGUGCCACUGCAAAGGUAACCCCUGGGACUGCACCUGUAACAUAGCAUGGUUGAACGACGGCAACAUUGAUGUCUACGAUAAAGAUUCUGCUACUUGUGCUUCACCCAGCGCACUGAAUAACACUGUAAUUGAAAACGUUAAUUGGAGUG
This 1998-nucleotide unclassified non-coding RNA is filed under the name Limulus polyphemus (Atlantic horseshoe crab). Its description in RNAcentral is "leucine-rich repeat-containing protein 15-like, transcript variant X2". Lineage: Eukaryota; Metazoa; Arthropoda; Merostomata; Xiphosura; Limulidae. The record is from RNAcentral.